This 449-nucleotide ribosomal RNA is filed under the name uncultured bacterium. Its description in RNAcentral is "partial 16S ribosomal RNA". It matches the Rfam family "Bacterial small subunit ribosomal RNA", at positions 330 to 794 of the family's 1533-position model. The record is from RNAcentral.
GCCAGACUCCUACGGGAGGCAGCAGUGGGGGAUAUUGCACAAUGGGGGGAACCCUGAUGCAGCGACGCCGCGUGGGUGAAGGAGCGUUUCGGCGCGUAAAGCCCUAUCGGCAGGGAAGAAGGAGGACGGUACCUGACUAAGAAGCCCCGGCUAACUACGUGCCAGCAGCCGCGGUAAUACGUAGGGGGCAAGCGUUAUCCGGAUUUACUGGGUGUAAAGGGGGCGCAGACGGCAGCGCAAGCCAGGAGUGAAAGCCCGGGGCCCAACCCCGGGACUGCUCUUGGAACUGCGCGGCUGGAGUGCAGGAGGGGCAGGCGGAAUUCCUGGUGUAGCGGUGAAAUGCGUAGAUAUCAGGAGGAACACCGGUGGCGAAGGCGGCCUGCUGGACUGCGACUGACGUUGAGGCCCGAAAGCGUGGGGAGCAAACAGGAUUAGAUACCCCUGUAAAU